Molecule: ribosomal RNA, 381 nt
Filed under: uncultured Pseudomonas sp.
Lineage: Bacteria; Pseudomonadati; Pseudomonadota; Gammaproteobacteria; Pseudomonadales; Pseudomonadaceae
Description: bacterial SSU rRNA
Rfam family: Bacterial small subunit ribosomal RNA
Source: RNAcentral
AGAGAUGGAUUGGUGCCUUCGGGAACGUCUGACACAGGUGCUGCAUGGCUGUCGUCAGCUCGUGUCGUGAGAUGUUGGGUUAAGUCCCGUAACGAGCGCAACCUUGUCCUUAGUUACCAGCACGUUAUGGUGGGCACUCUAAGGAGACUGCCGGUGACAAACCGGAGGAAGGUGGGGAUGACGUCAGGUCAUCAUGGCCCUUACGGCCUGGGCUACACACGUGCUACAAUGGUCGGUACAAAGGGUUGCCAAGCCGCGAGGUGGAGCUAAUCCCAUAAAACCGAUCGUAGUCCGGAUCGCAGUCUGCAACUCGACUGCGUGAAGUCGGAAUCGCUAGUAAUCGUGAAUCAGAAUGUCACGGUGAAUACGUUCCCGGGCCUU